AGGGGCAGCACUUCUUCGGAUGGUGGCGACCGGCGCACGGGUGCGUAACGCGUAUAGAACUUACCUUUUACAGAGGGAUAGCCUUUAGAAAUGAAGAUUAAUACCUCAUAGCAUUGAGAUUUGGCAUCAAAUUUUAAUUAAAGAUUUAUCGGUAAAAGAUGGCUAUGCGUCCUAUUAGCUAGAUGGUGAGGUAACGGCUCACCAUGGCAACGAUAGGUAGGGGUCCUGAGAGGGAGAUCCCCCACACUGGUACUGAGACACGGACCAGACUCC
Molecule: ribosomal RNA, 273 nt
Filed under: unidentified marine bacterioplankton
Lineage: Bacteria
Also listed under: 1 other name
Description: partial 16S ribosomal RNA
Rfam family: Bacterial small subunit ribosomal RNA
Source: RNAcentral